This is a long non-coding RNA of Carassius carassius (crucian carp), 549 nucleotides long. RefSeq lists it as uncharacterized. The transcript has 3 exons. The record is from RefSeq and is a predicted model, not a curated record. Lineage: Eukaryota; Metazoa; Chordata; Actinopteri; Cypriniformes; Cyprinidae.
AUAAUAAGGAUUCUUCAGGAUCUAAUACAACAAACAAUGUUGCUGGUGUGAUGGUCAUUGGAUCACUUACUGCUGGCCUGUUGUUUGCUCUGUGUUUCAGAAAAAGAAAUGCUCUGCGCUAUGAAUCAGGAAAGGCUGUUGAAGAUAAUCUGGAAAUUUGUGACAUCAGUCCUGAGCAUUGAAGCUUCUAAUAUCAGGAGAUUGGGUUUUUGGAGCUUUCUUAGCUUUCUUAUGCCUGGUCAGACCAUUAUUCACAAUUAUUUUACAAAUUUAAUAAAAUUAAUGUUGUAGUUUUUGGAAAUAGUUAAUAACAUUCAAAUCUAAAUAUAGUUCUGUAAAAAGUCUUUUUAUAUCUAUCUAGGGAGUUCUUCAUCACUACUGUCACUUUUUGCUUAACUGAUGGUUUUAUGGUAAUAUUGUUAUGUAAAGUACCUGUAAAGUAACAAUAUUCAUGCUUAUUAGGUAAGCGUUAUACAAAUAAACUUGAAUUAAACUGAAAACAUUUAUUCUCUGCUUUAUGCAUCAAAUAUUAAUAGCAUUAAUGCAAAA